GAACUGUCUGUUGAAGACCCCCCCCCCCCCCCCCCCCCACCAAGCUGCCCACCAGAGGCCAAGCUGUACUUGGUGUUUGCCAACAUGCUGUAAUUUCCAGCCUGGUUGCUGUAGCCACAGAGGAAUUUUCAAGGACAAGAACCAGUGCUGGUAAAACUGUGGUCUCUGUGGUUUUCCAUACCGGCUCUCGGCAAGGAUUUUCAAGAAAGGAAUACCAUCUCCAAAUCAUGAUGUGCCAAUAAGCUCCAGUUAGCUGCGGCCUUUUCCCCAGGCGGUAGUCCUGCAAUCUGAAUCCAGGAGAUGCAGCUCUGAAUCCAAUAUUUCAGAAGAAUGAAGAUG
This is a long non-coding RNA of Mya arenaria, 339 nucleotides long. RefSeq lists it as uncharacterized. The transcript has 3 exons. The record is from RefSeq and is a predicted model, not a curated record. Lineage: Eukaryota; Metazoa; Mollusca; Bivalvia; Myida; Myidae.